Molecule: ribosomal RNA, 470 nt
Filed under: uncultured bacterium
Lineage: Bacteria
Description: bacterial SSU rRNA
Rfam family: Bacterial small subunit ribosomal RNA
Source: RNAcentral
AUGGCUCAGAACGAACGCUGGCGGCAGGUCUUAGGCAUGCAAGUCGAACGGACGACAGAGUGGCUUGCCAUUCUGAAGUUAGUGGCGCACGAGUGAGUAACGCGUGGGAAACUGCCCUUCACUGGGGAAUAACGUUUGGAAACGAACGCUAAUACCGCAUACGCCCGCAAGGGGAAAGAUUUAUCGGUGAUGGAUGUGCCCGCGUUGGAUUAGCCAGUUGGUGGGGUAACGGCCUACCAAAGCAAUGAUCCAUAGCUGGUCUGAGAGGACGAUCAGCCACGCUGGAACUGAGACACGGUCCAGACUCCUACGGGAGGCAGCAGCUAAGAAUAUUGGGCAAUGGAGGAAACUCUGACCCAGCCCAUGCCGCGUGAAUGAAGAAGGCCUUCGGGUUGUAAAGUUCUUUUAGUCAUGAAGAUGAUGACGGUAGUGACAGAAAAAGCACCGGCUAACUUCGUGCCAGCAGCCGC